RNAcentral lists this ribosomal RNA (930 nucleotides) under uncultured rumen archaeon. RNAcentral describes it as "bacterial SSU rRNA". It matches the Rfam family "Archaeal small subunit ribosomal RNA", at positions 128 to 1055 of the family's 1478-position model. The record is from RNAcentral.
GUCUCUCGGUAAUAACUGGGGGAGGUAGACUGGCGUUGUCUACACGUAAUUCCUAGGGAGAAACCCGGACUGGGUAUCUCAAGUCAGAUCUGAAGUUUCUACUAAGUUGGCGCAUAGAUGAUCUCGCCGAUGGUAGUGUGGGUACGCCCACAGNCCCUAAUCGUACGGUGUUGAGCAGAGCCCGAGAUGAAUCGAGACACGAUUCAGGCCUACGGGCGCAGCAGCGCGAAACUUACAAUGCAGGAAANUGUGAUAAGGAACCCCGAGUGCCCGUACACGCGGGCUGUCCCGGUGUUAAAACACAUCGGAGAAAGGGCCGGGCAAGACCGGUGCCAGCCGCCGCGGUAAUACCGGCGGCUCGAGUGGUGACCACUUUUAUUGGGCUUAAAGCGUUCGUAGCUUGGUUUUUAAGUCUCUUGGGAAAUCUCACGGCUUAACUGUGAGGCGUCUAAGAGAUACUGGGAAUCUAGGGACCGGGAGAGGUAAGAGGUACUUCAGGGGUAGAAGUGAAAUUCUGUAAUCCUUGAGGGACCACCGAUGGCGAAGGCAUCUUACCAGAACGGCUUCGACAGUGAGGAACGAAAGCUGGGGGAGCGAACGGGAUUAGAUACCCCGGUAGUCCCAGCCGUAACCUAUGCGCGUUAGGUGUGCCUGUAACUACGAGUUACCGGGGUGCCGAAGUGAAAACGUGAAACGUGCCGCCUGGGAAGUACGGUCGCAAGGCUGAAACUUAAAGGAAUUGGCGGGGGAGCACCACAACGGGUGGAGCCUGCGGUUUAAUUGGACUCAACGCCGGGCAGCUCACCGGAUAGGACAGCGGAAUGAUAGCCGGGCUGAAGACCUUGCUUGACCAGCUGAGAGGAGGUGCAUGGCCGUCGUCAGUUCGUACUGUGAAGCAUCCUGUUUAGUCAGGCAACGAGCGAGACCCAA